AUUAUCCAAUAUCAAAUCCGACAACCGAAAGGAAAGAAAGUUACCCUGAACCAAUAAAAGGAAUGAAGCCUCUGUUUUCCCCCGGCUAUACCCAACAACCACAUUUACCAACUUCAAACCCUCAGCCUCAAAGGAAAGAAAGUUACCCUGAAACAGCGCAUGGCGCAAAGCCUCUGUUUUCCCCUGUUUAUACACCACAAUCGCAUUCACCAACUUCUAAUCCGACAUCUCAAAGGAAAGAAAGUUACCCUGAAUCAACGCAUGGCAAAAAGCCUCUGUUUUCCCACGUUUAUACACCACAAUCACAGUCACCAACUUCUAAUCCGACAUCUCAAAGGAAAGAAAGUUAUCCUGAAACAGCGCAUGGCGCAAAGCCUCUGUUUUCCCCUGUUUAUACACCACAAUCACAUUCACCAACUUCUAAUCCGACAUCUCAAAGGAAAGAAAGUUACUCUGAAACAGCACAUGGCGCAAAGCCUCUGUUUUCCCCUGUUUAUACACAACAAUCACACUUGCCAACUUCAAGUCCAAUGCAUCAAAGAAAAGAAAGUUACCCUGAGACAGCACACGAUGCAAACCCUCAUUUUUCCACUGGUUCUGCACAACAACCAC
Molecule: long non-coding RNA, 612 nt
Filed under: Nicotiana tabacum (common tobacco)
Lineage: Eukaryota; Viridiplantae; Streptophyta; Magnoliopsida; Solanales; Solanaceae
Description: long non-coding RNA (NTAB_LNC010148)
Source: RNAcentral